UACGUAGGCAGCAAGCGUUGUUCGGAGUUACUGGGCGUAAAGGGUGCGUAGGUGGCUCUAUAAGUAUGGUGUGAAAUCUCCCGGCUUAACUGGGAGGGUGCGCCGUAGACUGUGGGGCUAGAGUGUGGGAGAGGAAAGUGGAAUUCCUGGUGUAGCGGUGAAAUGCGUAGAUAUCAGGAGGAACACCGGUGGUGUAAACGGCUUUCUGGACCAUAACUGACGCUGAGGCACGAAAGCGUGGGUAGCAAACAGG
This 253-nucleotide ribosomal RNA is filed under the name uncultured bacterium. RNAcentral describes it as "partial 16S ribosomal RNA". It matches the Rfam family "Bacterial small subunit ribosomal RNA", at positions 524 to 776 of the family's 1533-position model. The record is from RNAcentral.